Molecule: ribosomal RNA, 492 nt
Filed under: uncultured bacterium
Lineage: Bacteria
Description: partial 16S ribosomal RNA
Rfam family: Bacterial small subunit ribosomal RNA
Source: RNAcentral
AGUGAACGCUGGCGGUAGGCCUAACACAUGCAAGUCGAACGGCAGCACAGUAAGAGCUUGCUCUUACGGGUGGCGAGUGGCGUACGGGUGAGGAAUACAUCGGAAUCUACUUUUUCGUGGGGGAUAACGUAGGGAAACUUACGCUAAUACCGCAUACGACCUACGGGUGAAAGCAGGGGAUCUUCGGACCUUGCGCGAUUGAAUGAGCCGAUGUCGGAUUAGCUAGUUGGCGGGGUAAAGGCCCACCAAGGCGACGAUCCGUAGCUGGUCUGAGAGGAUGAUCAGCCACACUGGAACUGAGACACGGUCCAGACUCCUACGGGAGGCAGCAGUGGGGAAUAUUGGACAAUGGGCGCAAGCCUGAUCCAGCAAUACCGCGUGGGUGAAGAAGGCCUUCGGGUUGUAAAGCCCUUUUGUUGGGAAAGAAAAGCAGCAGGUUAAUACCCCGCUGUUCUGACGGUACCCAAAGAAUAAGCACCGGCUAACUUCGUG